UACGAAGGGGGCUAGCGUUGCUCGGAAUCACUGGGCGUAAAGCGCACGUAGGCGGCUUUCUAAGUCAGGGGUGAAAUCCUGGAGCUCAACUCCAGAACUGCCUUUGAUACUGGAGAGCUUGAGUCCGGAAGAGGUGAGUGGAACUCCGAGUGUAGAGGUGAAAUUCGUAGACAUUCGGAAGAACACCAGUGGCGAAGGCGGCUCACUGGUCCGGUACUGACGCUGAUGUGCGAAAGCGUGGGGAGCAAACAGGG
Molecule: ribosomal RNA, 254 nt
Filed under: uncultured bacterium
Lineage: Bacteria
Description: partial 16S ribosomal RNA
Rfam family: Bacterial small subunit ribosomal RNA
Source: RNAcentral